This 2722-nucleotide long non-coding RNA is filed under the name Elaeis guineensis (African oil palm). RNAcentral's name for it is "long non-coding RNA (EGUI_LNC015822)". Lineage: Eukaryota; Viridiplantae; Streptophyta; Magnoliopsida; Arecales; Arecaceae. The record is from RNAcentral.
GUCCCCAAAAGUCAUGUAGAAUUGGUAAUAGAUUGUUCUAGUGUCAAGACUUCUACACAUAUCAUUCAUGGUGGACAAGAAGGACACGUCUCAAGCAGGCUGGUAUUGCCGAUAACAACAAAUGACACACAUUGUUGGAGCAUAAGGUUGGUGCUCAGAGUGAAGCCAAUCAGCAAAUACCAUCACAGCUUCAACAUUUAAACUAUUGAACAUUCUCUGAAAAGAAAUAGGGAUCCAUGACCAAGCAAAAAAGUUCGAUAUAGUGAAUAUUAAGGAGUACAUAUCCUACAGGGUGACAUGAUACUGCAAGAUGUGAUUCUGACAAAAGGCCAUUUCAGGUCCACGCAGUUUGGUCCUGCAUGGAAUAUAAUACAGCUAUGAUUUAGAUUCUGACUGUAAAGGUGGUGAACCAUGUCCACAUUUUUUUUCCAAAAAAAAAAAAAAAGAGGACCAGAUUAUGGCAACCAGUACAUUAGCUUUUACUUGUGAGAUAACUUUUGGUGAGCCAAGCAUAUUUAUAGCAACAGAGUUUCAAACUGAUAAAGCAAUAUAUGCAAAUCAAAAGGGAACAGUUGAACAUAGAUUUACUAUAGAAUGAGGGACCAUGAAGACGGCAGAUUUCAAUUUAUAAAUCAUUUUAGGAGACUUCUCCUUAUGAUAUUGAUGCCCUAACAGCAGAUAUCAGAUGGAAGAAACCACAAAAGGACCUCAUCUUUGUCAUAAUUAAAUGUUUGAUAUUUGAGGAGAAUAAAGAUCAGACUUUUGGAAUCAUAAAACUUGUGUCAAAUAGAAUUGCUGAUAGAAAGAGUAGGAAGCCAUAUAACAUUUUUCACAUCGAUCACUAACAUGGCCUUCUUAGGAAAAUUGGCAGAACACUCAACUUUAAAUGAAAAGCCAAUUUUAUUUUGCAACCAAAAGAAUGUCUUAUCACAAGAUAAAUGAAUCACCAAAGUGAACUGCAUAUAAUAGCACAUACAACAGUACACUGGACUGAUGAGAGAGAGAGAGAGAGAGAGAGUUACAAAAAAAAUCAAGAAUUAUCACAAGUAUCCAAAGUCAAGUUGCAAAAUGGUUUGUAAUCAGUUGGAAUUUGAAAUAAGAAUAUAGUCACCCGAUCAUUUAUCAAAACCAACUAUAAUGCAAAAGCAUUAAUUCUUAUUUCCAUGUUUAGAACCUACCUAUCUUAUCCUAAGGUUGAAGAAAUCACCUCCAUCUUUGACAUAUUGGAUUACAUCCAGCCAUGAUUAUUGUGUUUUGACAAAUUAUCACAUGUCCCAAAACAUAGUAAUGUGGACCUUUAUUCUAACAAUUUUUAUCCAGAGAUAAACAAUAAUUGAUAUGAAAUAAUUCUCAAAAAAAAAAAAAAUACCUGUUUCAUGGCUAUGAACCAAUAAUCUCUAAAAUCAACUAACUAAUAACUUCUUAGCUUUUCUUCAUACAACGUUAUGCGAGUACUGAUCUGUACCGGUCAAUAGGAGGGCGUCUCAUACCAACCUAAUCGUGUACAGAGGUUAAGAAUGUUGUUUAGCUGGCUGUAGCAGCAUGCAUGUCCUGGUACAGAGGUCCAAUACCCAGACUUGGAACAUUGGUAUCAGGUACUAGAAGACUUAUGUCUAUGCUUAUAAUACAUGCCAUUAUACACAUUUUUUUUCUGUACAAUGUAAAUAUAGUUCGUGCAGAGUUAACUUAUUCUAUUUUUGUUAUAUGAAUGUGCAUAACAUGAGGUAUAUAUAUAUAUAUAUGCAGGACUGCCAUGUUGUGGAAACCGCUCAUCAAUCCUUUUGCUCAUAUCUCAAACAACUCUAAAUUAACGAGAGAAAAAAAAAUGCAAGUUGCAAAAGAAUGCAGAUGAUUAUGAAACCCAAGAGUUUAAAGACCUAUUUGAAUGGUUGGGCUCAAAAUCCUAUAGGAUUCAUGGCCUAGCUCAAUCUGAUUUGGAUGGUUGUAUUGGCCCAAACCCACGAUUCCUAUGGGAUUUUAGGCCCGACCAUCCAAACAGGCCCUGAGUGGGGUUUGGGAGGGGGGAGGGCAGGGUGUCGAACACAGAUCAAUGCUGGAUGUAGGCUUACCUUGAGAACCAAAAGCAAAAAUUAAGGGCUUGCUUGGCAUUUUCUUUUUCAAAAAAGCCCAAGAAGAAAUGUGAACUAGACUGAACAACAAGUACAAUGAAAUCCUUUUGUUUUCUAAGUUGUUUGUAAAAUCUUCAGAGCUUGCGGCAGCAAAGAUUUAUUGCUUAAAGAAAACGAGUGGAAAUAAAAGCAAGGAGUAACAUAAUUUUUUUUUGCAAGUGUUAUCCUCACCAUCAAGCUGCAUGUGGGAUUUCACUAAUAUGUAAAGAAACAAAGCCACAAAAUUAACAAUGACCCCAAACAGUUCCUAAAUUUUUAAUAAGGAAGGGAGAAAAAGGUAACUAGAAUUUACGAAGAACUGAAAGGUGAUACGGGGUUUCAGCAAGAUCAAUAAUCAAAUUAUCCUACAGCCUAGGAAUUAGGUGAACAACAGUCCAUGUAUUUCAGACAUGCAAAAAAAAUUUCAGGAGGAUAAAUUACAUUUCACACAAACGAUUUAAAACUUAUAAGCAUACUAAAACCUUGAUAAGUGCAGAAUCCUCCGAAGCCAUAAGCAAGCCCAAACUACUAGCAAAGGAUGACACUUACAGAAAAUCAAUAAAAUCUCCUACGAAGAGAAGCCAGGUCUACAUAAAUCCCUACGUUUGACCAUC